This 496-nucleotide ribosomal RNA is filed under the name uncultured bacterium. RNAcentral describes it as "partial 16S ribosomal RNA". It matches the Rfam family "Bacterial small subunit ribosomal RNA", at positions 29 to 507 of the family's 1533-position model. The record is from RNAcentral.
AUGAACGCUGGCGGCGUGCCUAAUACAUGCAAGUCGAGCGAACAGACGAGGAGCUUGCUCCUCUGACGUUAGCGGCGGACGGGUGAGUAACACGUGGAUAACCUACCUAUAAGACUGGGAUAACUUCGGGAAACCGGAGCUAAUACCGGAUAAUAUAUUGAACCGCAUGGUUCAAUAGUGAAAGACGGUUUUGCUGUCACUUAUAGAUGGAUCCGCGCCGCAUUAGCUAGUUGGUAAGGUAACGGCUUACCAAGGCGACGAUGCGUAGCCGACCUGAGAGGGUGAUCGGCCACACUGGAACUGAGACACGGUCCAGACUCCUACGGGAGGCAGCAGUAGGGAAUCUUCCGCAAUAGGCGAAAGCCUGACGGAGCAACGCCGCGUGAGUGAUGAAGGUCUUCGGAUCGUGAAACUCUGUUAUUAGUGAAGAACAAAUGUGUAAGUAACUAUGCACGUCUUGACGGUACCUAAUCAGAAAGCCACGGCUAACUACGUG